AUUGAACGCUGGCGGCAUGCCUUACACAUGCAAGUCGAACGGUAACAGGUCUUCGGAUGCUGACGAGUGGCGAACGGGUGAGUAAUACAUCGGAACGUGCCUAGUAGUGGGGGAUAACUACUCGAAAGAGUGGCUAAUACCGCAUGAGAUCUACGGAUGAAAGCAGGGGAUCGCAAGACCUUGUGCUACUAGAGCGGCCGAUGGCAGAGUAGGUAGUGGGUGGGAUAAAAGCUUACCAAGCCGACGACCUGUAGCUGGUCUGAGAGGACGGUCAGCCACACUGGGACUGAGACACGGCCCAGACUCCUACGGGAGGCAGCAGUGGGGAAUUUUGGACAAUGGGCGCAAGCCUGAUCCAGCAAUGCCGCGUGCAGGAUGAAGGCCUUCGGGUUGUAAACUGCUUUUGUACGGAACGAAAAGCCCUGGGUUAAUACCCUGGGGUCAUGACGGUACCGUAAGAAUAAGCACCGGCUAACUACGUGCCAGCAGCCGCCGUAA
RNAcentral lists this ribosomal RNA (498 nucleotides) under uncultured bacterium. RNAcentral's name for it is "partial 16S ribosomal RNA". It matches the Rfam family "Bacterial small subunit ribosomal RNA", at positions 30 to 523 of the family's 1533-position model. The record is from RNAcentral.